GCCGGGGUGGCGGAAUUGGUAGACGCAAGGGACUUAAAAUCCCUUGGGAGCUUGCUCCCGUGCCGGUUCGAUUCCGGCUCCCGGCACCA
Molecule: transfer RNA, 89 nt
Filed under: Acidobacteriota bacterium
Lineage: Bacteria; Pseudomonadati; Acidobacteriota
Also listed under: 1 other name
Description: tRNA-Leu
Rfam family: tRNA
About the family: Transfer RNA (tRNA) molecules are approximately 80 nucleotides in length. Their secondary structure includes four short double-helical elements and three loops (D, anti-codon, and T loops).
Source: RNAcentral